RNAcentral lists this ribosomal RNA (492 nucleotides) under uncultured Bacteroidota bacterium. Its description in RNAcentral is "bacterial SSU rRNA". It matches the Rfam family "Bacterial small subunit ribosomal RNA", at positions 39 to 524 of the family's 1533-position model. Lineage: Bacteria; Pseudomonadati; Bacteroidota. The record is from RNAcentral.
CUGCGGCAGCUUAUACAUGCAAGUCGAGGGGCAACAUGAAGUAGCAAUACUUUGAUGGCGACCGGCAAACGGGUGCGGAACACGUACACAACCUUCCUUUUAGUGGGGAAUAGCCCAGAGAAAUUUGGAUUAAUACCCCGUAACAUAACCGAGUGGCAUCACUUGGUUAUUAUAGCUUCGGCGCUAGAUGAUGGGUGUGCGUAUGAUUAGAUAGUUGGCGAGGUAACGGCUCACCAAGUCUACGAUCAUUAGCUGAUGUGAGAGCAUGAUCAGCCACACGGGCACUGAGACACGGGCCCGACUCCUACGGGAGGCAGCAGUAAGGAAUAUUGGUCAAUGGACGCAAGUCUGAACCAGCUAUGCCGCGUGAAGGAUUAAGGUCCUCUGGAUUGUAAACUUCUUUUAUCUGGGACGAAAAAAGGUCUUUCUAGACCCCUUGACGGUACCAGAUGAAUAAGCACCGGCUAACUCCGUGCCAGCAGCCGCGGUAAU